GGACGUGUGCCCGAGCAUUCAAGGGUUACUUUGAUAGAGUAAAACACAGGGAAUAAUACCCCCUCACUUCCU
This 72-nucleotide transfer RNA is filed under the name Eremias dzungarica. Its description in RNAcentral is "tRNA-Ile". The record is from RNAcentral. Lineage: Eukaryota; Metazoa; Chordata; Lepidosauria; Squamata; Lacertidae.